RNAcentral lists this ribosomal RNA (497 nucleotides) under uncultured bacterium. RNAcentral describes it as "partial 16S ribosomal RNA". It matches the Rfam family "Bacterial small subunit ribosomal RNA", at positions 28 to 507 of the family's 1533-position model. The record is from RNAcentral.
GAUGAACGCUGGCGGCGUGCCUAAUACAUGCAAGUCGAGCGAACAGACGAGGAGCUUGCUCCUCUGACGUUAGCGGCGGACGGGUGAGUAACACGUGGAUAACCUACCUAUAAAACUGGGAUAACUUCGGGAAACCGGAGCUAAUACCGGAUAAUAUAUUGAACCGCAUGGUUCAAUAGUGAAAGACGGUUUUGCUGUCACCUAUAGAUGGAUCCGCGCCGCAUUAGCUAGUUGGUAAGGUAACGGCUUACCAAGGCAACGAUGCGUAGCCGACCUGAGAGGGUGAUCGGCCACACUGGAACUGAGACACGGUCCAGACUCCUACGGGAGGCAGCAGUAGGGAAUCUGCCGCAAUGGGCGAAAGCCUGACGGAGCAACGCCGCGUGAGUGAUGAAGGUCUGCGGAUCGUAAAACUCUGUUAUUAGGGAAGAACAAAUGUGUAAGUAACUAUGCACGUCUUGACGGUACCUAAUCAGAAAGCCACGGCUAACUACGUG